This 3905-nucleotide long non-coding RNA is filed under the name Homo sapiens (human). RNAcentral's name for it is "long non-coding RNA NONHSAT173323.1". The record is from RNAcentral. Lineage: Eukaryota; Metazoa; Chordata; Mammalia; Primates; Hominidae.
CUCGACCCCUUUCAGAGAAAUCUGGGAAUGAGAGAAGGAACCGGCCCAGGAGUGAUUUAUGACCUGCUGUCUGUGUCCUGCCUGAGGAAGCAUGGCUCUGGCUGUUUGAAGCAGACCCAGACUGGGAUCCUCAGAGAUUGGAAGGAGUGAUGGGGACCCUUCAGGAAAAUGUCACCGACCGUUGACUCUCAGCUCAGCUCGAAGCUGCUGAUGAGGGGGCUGCAAAUGGACUGAGCUGCGUGAAGCGGUAAAAAACAAACCUGCUUGCAUGGAAGGAAUGUUCCUAGCCAUUUGAGGCUGAAUAUAGGGUGGGUAUAAAUAGGGACCAGACUCCCAUAGACAGAAGGAAGCUGGCAUGCCCGGGCUGCCAUGGAGCAUUGAUGGGUCAUGGUGGCAACGUUGGAAUAUCAGAGACGCUGGAAUAUCACACUGGAAUAUUUCGAGGUCAAAACAACAGACACAUCAAGGCAGGGUCAGAAUGGCACAGUCAACCCCUCCUGCAUCUCCAAGCCAGAGGAUGCUGUUGUUUUAGGCUGACAUUGUUCAGAGCCUUUGGUGGCAGCACAGUGAGGAGGAUCACUGGGCAGGGAGACAUACCCUGGAGGUGCCUGAUGCCAAAAUGAGGAUGUAAAUCCUGCUCUGCCCCAGGUGUAAGACCUUGGGCAAAUUAGCUGACCUCUCUGAACCCGUCUUUUUCUUAGUGAGAGGUAGACAGGAAUCUUGUGAUCAUGAUGAGCAUGUAUACCAAGUGUUUGGCAUGGUGCCUGCCCCGAGCGAACGCUCAAAAGAGCAGGCUCUGUUAACAUGUGCCAGGGACUCUGCCCACACUCUAUACACGUCAUUUUACAGUAUGGGGCCCAGGGCAUAGAAGGAACUUGAGAAAUAACAAUAGUUUCCCCUCUUCUCUCUGCUCUGCUCCUGCCUUAAAGUUGUAUUUACCUCGUAACCUGUCCUCUUUCUCUCCUUCUCUCCUAAGUCUUUGCACGAUUUUGCUCCCUCUUCCCACUUUCCCUGCCCUCUGCUUUAUUUCCUGGCUAAUUUUGACUCUUCUUCAGGUCUUGCAUUUCCUCUUAAAAGCCUUACUUGUGUUCUCUUUGCCCACUGGCCCCCAAGGCAGGCCAGGUGCCCACUCUGUCUGCUGGUUUGUGUUUGAGUCCUCACAGUGCCCCAGGAGUUCCUACCCACCUGUGAACUGCUUAAAGCCAGGGACACCGCCUCUCAUCUCUCCAUCUCCUUCACCUGCUACAGAGCUCAGCAUACAGUAAGCGCUCCAUAAAUGUUUCUUCAGUGAACAUGAUCACACUGUCUGAUUCCUGGCUUCUUUUUUUGAGGCUUGAACCUACACAGAAUGUCCUGUCAAAUGUCCCAGAAAACAUGACUUUGAAAGGGACAGGGUGGCUGGCUCCUGUGUUGCAACACAGCACUUCUUACCUUCGCCUCUCACUAGUCUGAUUGGCCCAUCUUUCAAUUACCAGGAUGCUUAUCUUGCUCACUCAUUAGCCUAUAUCCCUUAGCUGGCAUUGAGUGGACAACAUGGUUGAGAUAUGCGAGCUCUGGAACUGAAGUGGGCUGCAGUCAAAUCUUGCUGGGAUUGGUUUUUGGAGGAAGGGAGGCUUGGGAUUAAGUGGCUGAGUGUAAGUGGGGCAUCCUAUUCCAGCACUGCCUGCUGCUGCUAGAGAGAGCCCUGGUGCAGCUUUGAGUCACAGCUGCUUUUCCCAGGACUUCAAGGCACACAGACACUAUUUUGUAAGCUUCAGAUAAGAAUGCAAGGCCCGCCCUCAUUUCCACAUACCCAAAUCAUGCCCAUUCUUCCAGGCACAGCUCAUAUGAGAUGUGACGUUGCACCUGAAGCUCAGAGCAGAGUGUCGGGCAUCCAUUAGUAAAAGUUUGAUGCUAAUACUAAGCCCCCAGCUCCAGAAGCCCUCCUGCGCUCCUACCUUUCAUUCCUGUAUCCUCACAGUUGUAGUUCGACCUCUCUUUGGGAGCCUCACAAUGUAUCCAACAGGUAGAGUAUCACCUUGCUGAUUGUGUGAUCUUAGAAGAGUUCUCGACGUGCUUUUUGAGUCUCAUUAUCUUCAUCUGUAUAAUGGAAUGUCAAUUCAGCCUCUUUGGGUUGCAAGUGAACAAAAUUUGACCUGAAUUUGUUUAAGCAAAAAGGAUUCUCAUUGGCUUGCAUGGCCCAAAAUCUAGGGACAGGACUAGUUGGGAUCAGGGGUCAUAUAGUGUCAUUGGAACUGGCUUCCUUCCAUCUGUGUGGACUCCAGACCAGGGCUCUGCAUAAGAGUGUGAUAAUUGUAGUAGUUCCAGCCUUUAAUCCUCCUAUGCUGAGUUCAUGGGAGUCAGUUGGAGGCCCCAGUAGGGCGCUCAAAGUCGCGGUUUGGGUUGCAUGGGUCUAGUUCAUUUGACUGCUUAUAGGCUCAUCCCCGAGCCCACCCCUGUGGCAAAGAGAUGAAAUAUCUAAUUGGCUGAGACUUGGACUCAGAUAUGGUAUGGGACAGGGGCCUGGAGAAUUCUCUGAGCCUGUCUGAGUGUGAUGGAAAUGCCAUCACCCAGGGCGACACUGAGGAACCCAGCAUUAAAUGGCAGCAUUACUAACAGCCAACUCAGACAUGAUAUUCACCUGGGCCUUGCCCUUAGUUUUAACUUAUCAGAUUGUCACAGCAACCCUAUCAGAUAUGUGCUGCUGUUAUUUACAUUUGAUGGAGGAUGUUACUAAGGUACCCCCUUAGUUUCCCCUUAGGCACUGCCUUAGAGGGCUUUUCCAGGGCCACAUAGCAGGUGUAGUACAAGAUGUAAAUCCAGGCAUGGCUGCAAAGUUUGCACACACAACUCCUUUCCUUUAUUAUGUAUUGUAGGAGGGAGCCAGUCAAGAAAUGAAAGGUAACAAAACAGAUAAGUAACAUAUAAUAUAUUACGAUGUAAUGUAGAGAUACAAAGCACAGAUCCACUGUUGGGCAACCAUGAUGGGCCACCUGCCAAGGAGAUGGGAGAACCAGGGCCUGGAAAGGAGGAGCAUCUGCGAAGCACAGCCUGAACCAUGAAGCCUCCCCAGGCAUCAAGUCACCCAGGGGGCUGUGGACUGCGGGGGAGUGUUGUGGGGUGAGGAGCCUGGGGCUCAGACCAGCCUGCGGUAAGCAUCCUCCUACACCAAGGAGCCAAAAUGACUGCACAGUGCGAGGGCGGCGAUGCAGGCUUGGAAAACAAAACCCGCCUCCUCUCUGUCUCCUCUGAUGGGAAGCCAGGGCCAAUGGAGGGGUCUGGUUCAGGGCCCAGAGCCACCAAAACCACUUGGCUCUUGAAUGAUCUGACUUGAGGGCUAACCUAAGCCUUGUGAAAUCCCAAGAGAAUAACCUCAGGUUCUUUAAUUCUAGUGCAGACUUUAGAUGCUGUUGGAAGAGAAGAAAAGGAAAUAGUGACCCAAGUCAGUAAUUGUACUUUCCAGUAGUCCCAAAGCAUAGUUUAUAUGAGCAUCCUAUAAGAGGCCACUGGCAUCUUAAUAAAGGUAGUUAAUAGUACACAUUGCUAGUCAGUAACAGCCACACCUUGCACCCAUUUGAUAGAACCCCAAGGGUCAGAAGAUGAUCUACUGAAUAUGGCCCAGCAGGGUAACAGGAACCGAGGGGUCCUUGAAGACAGCGUCCAGCCAGGGCAUCCAAUCUGGAAUUUCCCCUCACCUACAGAUCUCUGAGUAAGAUAAAUAUUUCAUUUUGCAAGCUCUGUGUUUUGUUACUUGCAGCUAAGAGCAUUCUAACUCACAUAAUUUCUUCAGAGACACUUCUGUAAUAUGCCUACUUCUGAAUGAACUCAUGCUUCCCACACUACCCCUUGAAUACUUCUUUUACGGAGUUUACCAUUGCCUAUUUGUCUUACAUCUGUCAUACAUCUAUGAGCUCUUUGAAGACAGG